Molecule: ribosomal RNA, 468 nt
Filed under: uncultured bacterium
Lineage: Bacteria
Description: partial 16S ribosomal RNA
Rfam family: Bacterial small subunit ribosomal RNA
Source: RNAcentral
GACGAACGCUGGCGGCGUGCUUAACACAUGCAAGUCGAACGGAAAGGCCCUGCUUUUGUGGGGUGCUCGAGUGGCGAACGGGUGAGUAACACGUGAGUAACCUGCCCUUGACUUUGGGAUAACUUCAGGAAACUGGGGCUAAUACCGGAUAGGAGCUCCUGCUGCAUGGUGGGGGUUGGAAAGUUUCGGCGGUUGGGGAUGGACUCGCGGCUUAUCAGCUUGUUGGUGGGGUAGUGGCUUACCAAGGCUUUGACGGGUAGCCGGCCUGAGAGGGUGACCGGCCACAUUGGGACUGAGAUACGGCCCAGACUACUACGGGAGGCAGCAGUGGGGAAUAUUGCACAAUGGGCGGAAGCCUGAUGCAGCAACGCCGCGUGCGGGAUGACGGCAUGCGGGUUGUAAACCGCUUUCGCCUGUGACGAAGCGUGAGUGACGGUAAUGGGUAAAGAAGCACCGGCUAACUACGUG